This 1660-nucleotide long non-coding RNA is filed under the name Helianthus annuus (common sunflower). RNAcentral's name for it is "hypothetical non coding rna". The record is from RNAcentral. Lineage: Eukaryota; Viridiplantae; Streptophyta; Magnoliopsida; Asterales; Asteraceae.
GCCUUUCUCGGCUCUUCUCUCCCUCUUUAAAUUUUAUAAUAAUAAUAGAACCCUACCCCAUUUUAAGUGUUGUAACCCCUGAUCACCGAUACCCUGUCCAAAGUGACGUAGGGCCCCGUAACGUAUGUCAAGGCUCUGCCUAAAUUCGUUGGGGUUCUGUCUCGUGACGUAGGGAUAAAGUAGAAUUGGGUUACUAUACUUAAUGUGGGUACACUAUAUAUUAAAUAAUCCAGGAGUUGUACCCAAAAUAUAACAAACCUCCCGAAUAUUUUUCUGAUACCCUACACUUCCUAAAAUACACCCUGUAUGUGAAAACCGAGCCCGAAAUACAAUAUAGCAUUGAAAAUAAAUACAAAACAAGAAAUAAUAAGUUGAGGCGGGCCGCGUAGGACCUCACCUCAACUUAACGCGGGCCGUGUGAGGGUGUAACUUAACUCCGCUGAAUUCUUUAGUUCACGCGGGCCGCGUAUGAUCCCGUUUAAGUUCAUGCGGGCCGCGCGGACUCAUGAAACGCGGAUAUAUCCAGAGGUUGACACGUGUCAUGAUCGUGGCGGUCUAGUGAACGACUCAGCUAAGCUACCCUGUUGACCAGGGUUGACGCGGGCCGCGUAGGCCCUGCCCUAAUAUUACGCGGGCCGCGAGAGAACCAGAUCCAGCCCCUAUAAAUAGAAGCAAUCGGCUGUUCAUUCAGUUCGUUCAGAAUUUAUUUCUUUCUCUCAAUUCUAAAGUGUAGGCAUUAUACGCGGGUAUAAUACCCCCCUAAUUAGCGAAGCUCUGCCUCGUUACUAUAACCAGGGAAUCACAAAGGAAAGCCCUAUAAUAGCAAUGUGAGUAAUCCUUCUUUUUAUGUAAACCUUUUUGUGAGUAAUCCUUCUUUUUAUGUAAACCUUUUUGUGAGUUGAUCCACUUUUUGUUAAAUGUUUUUACAAAACCUUGCAUACUUUUCCAUGCAAAUGACAGUUAUUGAGUAUUUGUAAGGAUACAAUUAUGAUGGUAUAUUUGGGGUUUUGUAUACAAAAUUUGUUACCACCUGUGGAGAGGAGUAACAUGACCAUAAGUCGGGUAUCGACAGUACCAUGGAUGUUAAUUGGUAUUACCUAUAAACAAAUGUAAUUGCGGGAUCGCCCUCAAUACUGUUCUCUGUGACUUUUAUUUAAACCUGAUUAAACUAGGAUUCACUCACCAGUAUUUCCUGCUGAUAAAAUGUUUUUAAACACGUGUUUCAGGUAACUUAGUGUAAAGCCAAUAGAAGCCAGCUGGAGAGCACUGAAGGCUUGGAAAAGUGGCAAUAAAGUUACCUAAAAUAAAAUAGAUGUUUUUAUUAAAUAAAAUAGGAUUUAUUCCUAUGAAAAUGUAUGUACUGAAAAACUUGGGUUUUAUCCCAUGUGUUUAAUAUAAUGAAAAUGUGGUGGUUUUACUCUGAUAAAAUAUUUCCUAACUACGGUCCUGAUGAAAAAUUCCGCUGCUAAAUUAGACCAUAUCCGAUACCACCGAAACUGGCUCACGGCCGCCCGUUCCUGAGGGAUCGGGGGUUGUGACAGAAGGUGGUAUCAGAGCUAUGCCACUGGUUCAAGCCAAAGAAGUGUUUUGCUGACACUUAAGUUUUAAAUUCUGUGUUAGGAAAUUAAUAUAACAAUUUAUGUGUUAUUCUGUAAUAUGA